RNAcentral lists this ribosomal RNA (468 nucleotides) under uncultured bacterium. Its description in RNAcentral is "partial 16S ribosomal RNA". It matches the Rfam family "Bacterial small subunit ribosomal RNA", at positions 28 to 507 of the family's 1533-position model. The record is from RNAcentral.
GACGAACGCUGGCGGCGUGCUUAACACAUGCAAGUCGAACGGAAAGGCCCUGCUUUUGUGGGGUGCUCGAGUGGCGAACGGGUGAGUAACACGUGAGUAACCUGCCCUUGACUUUGGGAUAACUUCAGGAAACUGGGGCUAAUACCGGAUAGGAGCUCCUGCUGCAUGGUGGGGGUUGGAAAGUUUCGGCGGUUGGGGAUGGACUCGCGGCUUAUCAGCUUGUUGGUGGGGUAGUGGCUUACCAAGGCUUUGACGGGUAGCCGGCCUGCGAGGGUGACCGGCCACAUUGGGACUGAGAUACGGCCCAGACUCCUACGGGAGGCAGCAGUGGGGAAUAUUGCACAAUGGGCGGAAGCCUGAUGCAGCAACGCUGCGUGCGGGAUGACGGCCUUCGGGUUGUAAACCGCUUUCGCCUGUGACGAAGCGUGAGUGACGGUAAUGGGUAAAGAAGCACCGGCUAACUACGUG